RNAcentral lists this transfer RNA (52 nucleotides) under Escherichia coli p0305293.11. RNAcentral describes it as "partial tRNA-Val". It matches the Rfam family "tRNA", at positions 24 to 71 of the family's 71-position model. Rfam says of the family: Transfer RNA (tRNA) molecules are approximately 80 nucleotides in length. RNAcentral also lists the same sequence under 1 other name. Lineage: Bacteria; Pseudomonadati; Pseudomonadota; Gammaproteobacteria; Enterobacterales; Enterobacteriaceae. The record is from RNAcentral.
CACCUCCCUUACAAGGAGGGGGUCGGCGGUUCGAUCCCGUCAUCACCCACCA